This is a long non-coding RNA of Sorghum bicolor (sorghum), 240 nucleotides long. RefSeq lists it as uncharacterized. The transcript has 2 exons. Lineage: Eukaryota; Viridiplantae; Streptophyta; Magnoliopsida; Poales; Poaceae. The record is from RefSeq and is a predicted model, not a curated record.
UUUGAUCAGCCUGUAGGGUCACGUGCUAGGGAGCUUGCUAGUGUUAUUGGUUGUUUGGUGAGGAAGAUAUCAGUUCAGUGCUCUGAUUGGAGGCUUGUUGAUAUUAAAAAGAAGGAUGCACUUUGGAAAGAAAUAAAGGCUAAAUAUGAUAUUCAUGCUGAUGGGAAGCAUUGGGUUUUAAAAACUGCUGGAUAUAAAUGGAAGGACUUUAAGGCAACUUUGAAGAAAAUGUAUUUUGAU